Molecule: non-coding RNA, 76 nt
Organism: Ameiurus melas (black bullhead)
Lineage: Eukaryota; Metazoa; Chordata; Actinopteri; Siluriformes; Ictaluridae
Source: the annotation of a GenBank genome assembly
GGCAGUGGUAGCCCAUUGGUUAAGGCGUUGGAUCAGUAUAUCAGAAGGCCGUGAGUUCAAAAUCCCAGCACUGCCA